This 372-nucleotide ribosomal RNA is filed under the name uncultured organism. RNAcentral describes it as "partial 16S ribosomal RNA". It matches the Rfam family "Bacterial small subunit ribosomal RNA", at positions 527 to 896 of the family's 1533-position model. The record is from RNAcentral.
GUAGGUGGCAAGCGUUGUCCGGAAUUAUUGGGCGCAAAGCGCGCGCAGGCGGUUCUUUAAGUCUGAUGUGAAAGCCCACGGCUCGACCGUGGAGGGUCAUUGGAAACUGGAGAACUUGAGUACAGAAGAGGAAAGCGGAAUUCCACGUGUAGCGGUGAAAUGCGUAGAGAUGUGGAGGAACACCAGUGGCGAAGGCGGCUUUCUGGUCUGUAACUGACGCUGAGGCGCGAAAGCGUGGGGGGAGCAAACAGGAUUAGAUACCCUGGUAGUCCACGCCGUAAACGAUGAGUGCUAAGUGUUAGGGGGUUUCCGCCCCUUAGUGCUGCAGCUAACGCAUUAAGCACUCCGCCUGGGAGUACGGCCGCAAGGCUG